GUGAAUCAUCAAAUUUUUGAACGCAAAUUGCACUCUCUUCGGAGAGUAUGCCUGUUUGAGGGUCAGGAUUAAUAAAAAUCGGAGUGUUGCUUCUGUGUCACGCUCCGGAGUUUGGGUCAUUUGAAUAUUCUUUAGGUUUUAAGUUGACGAAAAUUGAAUUUUUUUUCGCAUUGUAUAUGUACAUAAAU
RNAcentral lists this unclassified non-coding RNA (188 nucleotides) under Glomeraceae sp. RNAcentral describes it as "partial contains 5.8S ribosomal RNA and internal transcribed spacer 2". The stretch from base 1 to 65 matches the Rfam family "5.8S ribosomal RNA", at positions 84 to 154 of the family's 154-position model. The record is from RNAcentral. Lineage: Eukaryota; Fungi; Glomeromycota; Glomeromycetes; Glomerales; Glomeraceae.